Molecule: ribosomal RNA, 253 nt
Filed under: uncultured bacterium
Lineage: Bacteria
Description: partial 16S ribosomal RNA
Rfam family: Bacterial small subunit ribosomal RNA
Source: RNAcentral
GACAGAGGUGCCGAGCGUUAGGCGGAAUUACUGGGCGUAAAGGGCUCGUAGGCGGCCAACUAAGUCGGACGUGAAAUCCCUCAGCUUAACUGGGGAACUGCGUCCGAUACUGGAUGGCUUGGAUUUGGGAGAGGGAUGCGGAAUUCCAGGUGUAGCGGUGAAAUGCGUAGAUAUCUGGAGGAACACCGGUGGCGAAGGCGGCAUCCUGGACCAAUAUUGACGCUGAGGAGCGAAAGCCAGGGGAGCAAACGGG